CCCAGUCCUAACCUCCCUACCUCCAGGUGGAGGAUAUUCUGUUCUCUGCCUGGCACCUUCCUGGGAGGCAGGGUGGCCAGGGCACAGGGCUCUGCUGGUCCUGCAGGGUACAAGGGAUCUUCCAUACUUCCUCCGUCUUGGGAAGGAGAAGCAGCAAUGCUGUGUCUCAGCUACAACCUGGAGGGAGAGCCUUUGCCCUGCCUACCCCUCCUUAUAGUGUUGGCAGUGUGGGCAGCCCUGUGCUGUUUGAUCUUGGGCCGCUUGCAUCUCUAGAUAUCUAUGAACAUAUUUACUGACUCAGGAGCAGUAGCCAAUGAAACGCCACAUGUGGUAGGCAGCUUUACUUGUUGACAAUGAUGUGUGCACUCCCCGAUGGCUGCACUCCUCUGGAGGUGGAGAAGACAUCCCUAUUGGCCUUGGGCUGGGCCAUGGGACUUACCUUGUCAAGUGGAGUAUGAGCAGACAUGCCCUAUGCCAUGGCAGAGCUGAAGAUGCUAAUGAGCUGGUGUGGUUUGGCUGUGUCCCCUUCAGAGCCUGUGCUCCACAGUGAAAACAGGUUAUCUUAGACGAUGGCCAUCCCGUUGCUAUGGGUCACUGAAUGAAAAGAUAAAUGGAGAUCUGUGGAGACCACCAGAGCCAAAGCCAAUUCACAGCCCUCAAGAAAUAAAUGUUUGUGUUUGUAAGCCACUCAGAUUUGGGAGUUAUAUGUUGCUGCAGCAAAAUCUGACUAAUCCAGUCAGAUUCUGUGCUAAGAACUUUCAAAUGUUACCUCAU
RNAcentral lists this long non-coding RNA (774 nucleotides) under Homo sapiens (human). Its description in RNAcentral is "HSALNT0014458". Lineage: Eukaryota; Metazoa; Chordata; Mammalia; Primates; Hominidae. The record is from RNAcentral.